RNAcentral lists this ribosomal RNA (430 nucleotides) under Pseudomonadota bacterium. Its description in RNAcentral is "Proteobacteria bacterium partial 16S ribosomal RNA". It matches the Rfam family "Bacterial small subunit ribosomal RNA", at positions 355 to 776 of the family's 1533-position model. Lineage: Bacteria; Pseudomonadati; Pseudomonadota. The record is from RNAcentral.
UGGGGAAUAUUGGACAAUGGGGGGAACCCUGAUCCAGCCAUGCCGCGUGUGUGAAGAAGGCCUUAUGGUUGUAAAGCACUUUAAGCGAGGAGGAGGGUACUGGUAUUAAUACUACCAGGUACUGGACGUUACUCGCAGAAUAAGCACCGGCUAACUCUGUGCCAGCAGCCGCGGUAAUACAGAGGGUGCGAGCGUUAAUCGGAUUUACUGGGCGUAAAGCGUGCGUAGGCGGCUAAUUGAGUCGGAUGUGAAAUCCCCGAGCUUAACUUGGGAAUUGCAUUAGAUACUGGUUAGCUAGAGUGUGGGAGAGGAUGGUAGAAUUCCAGGUGUAGCGGUGAAAUGCGUAGAGAUCUGGAGGAAUACCGAUGGCGAAGGUAGACAUCUGGCAUAACACUGACGCUGAGGUACGAAAGCAUGGGGAGCAAACAGG